Molecule: RNA transcript, 2303 nt
Organism: Entelurus aequoreus (snake pipefish)
Lineage: Eukaryota; Metazoa; Chordata; Actinopteri; Syngnathiformes; Syngnathidae
Gene: tyw3
Gene name: tRNA-yW synthesizing protein 3 homolog (S. cerevisiae)
Exons: 7
Source: RefSeq, a predicted model, not a curated record
GCGAAGAAGGAAACAAAACAGUAGAAGAAGAAAAAAAAGAGGAAGACGAAGUAACAAUAAUAAUGAAAGAAGACUCAACCUUAAAGUUUGCAAAUGGAGAAAACAUUCUGUCAGUGGAAGAAACAAUGUCUGAACAAAGUGGACCUGAGUAAGAAAGGCGUUGUGGAUGAAGAUGUGGUUGACAUCGUGUCACUGCUCAAUGGCUGCCAGGACUACUUCACUACCAGCUCCUGCUCAGGACGCAUUACAAUCAUGGACAGGGCCCCAGAUAGUGUUGUUGUCCAGAAGAAGAACCUCGUCUGGCUCUUGGUCGCACACACAAAAUGCACAUCGGAUGAAGUGAUGUCUGCGCUGACCCGCUCUUGUGGGAAUGCAGUGCUCAAGUUUGAGCCAUUUGUGAUGCAUGUUCAGUGUCGCACCCUGGAGGAUGCACACCUGCUGCUCUCAGCUGCUCUCCAGUCGGGCUUCAAAAACUCUGGUCUCACUGCAAGCAAGACGGGGAAGAUCAUCACGGCAGUCCGCUGUACCCACAGCCUGGAGGUUCCUCUCAGUGACCAAGGCAGGCUGCUGGUUUCCCAUGAAUAUAUUCAUUUCCUCACCCAGACGGCCAAUCAAAAGAUGGAGGACAAUUUAAAACGGAUUGAAAGGUUUUAUCAAACCAUCCGGACUACUUUAACAACUCAGGAGCAACAGAAAGUUCCGCAGGAUUCCGCCACACUUGCAUUACGACAACCCCCUUUCAUGGGUGUGGACAGGCGGGGACGGGACACAGAUGACAAGCUGGAGAAGGAAAGAAAUCAAGCGUGUGAACAAUGAAUGUCUGGAUUUGUUUUAAUGUCAUUUAAAGUGGAACUGCUCUUUGGGAUUGUGCCUGUCAUUCACAACCCUUAUGUAACACACCAGUAUUAGUCCUUUUUGUGCAUUCUAAAUCGUAAAAAACUGUUAGCAAGAGUAAUGAAGGUAACGGGGAUACGAUUUAAUCCAGGGGUGGGCAAUUAUUUUUUACCGGGGGCCGCAUGAGCAACCCGAGCACUGCUGGAGGGCCACAUCAACAAUAUUUCAAUUAAAUUUUGCUCAAUAUUAUUUUUGAUAUACCGAAAGAUAAAUAAUAAUUUAUACUAGAGAUGUCCAAUAAUAUCGGCCUGCCGAUAUCGACCGAUAAAUGCGUUAAAAUGUAAUAUCGGAAAUUAUCGGUAUCAUUUUUUUAAUUAUUGGUAUCGUUUUUUUAAACCUCCCUCCCCCAUUUACACUCAUUCACACAAAAGGGUUGUUUCUUUCUGUUAUUAAUAUUCUGCUUCCUACAUUAUAUAUCAAUAUAUAUCAAUACAGUCUGCAAGGGAUACAGUCCGUAAGCACACAUGAUUGUGCGUGCUGCUGGUCCACUAAUAGUACUAACCUUUAACAGUUAAUUUUACUCAUUUUCAUUAAUUACUAGUUUCUAUGUAACUGUUUUACUUUAUUUUUUAUUCAAGAAAAUGUUGUUUUAUUUAUCUUAUUUUAUUAAUUUAUUAAUUAAAGUACCUUAUCUUCACCAUACCUGGUUGUCCAAAUUAGGCAUAAUAAUGUGUCAAUUCCACGACUGUAUAUAUCGGUUGAUAUCGGUAUCGGUUGAUAUCGGUAAUUAAAGAGUUGGACAAUAUCGGAUAUCGGCAAAAAGCCAUUAUCGGACAUCCCUACUUUAUACAAAAGCAGAUUGCUUUUGAUGGUUUUAUUUUUAACACUGUCUUACACAACCCUUCCUGAUGUAUAAUACAAUGCAAAAAUGUCCAUUUCUACACAGGGUUAAUUUUUGUCACAUUAUCCUGCAUCCUCUUUAAAAGUCCCAACAUUUUUCCCCGUCAGAUUUGGACAACCAUCUGUUGUCACACCUGCCAGCUUGUCCCAUUUCAGUCCUAACAUGUCCAAACACGCACUUACCUAUGUGAACAAGUCAUUACCUGUGGUUGUCUCUUUUAAUUGACUGCAUAGCUGCCAGCUCCUCUGUGAUUUGAAAGUCUGCAGUUAUCCCACGUAAGAAGAUGAGCAGCUGGGCGGUGUCACGUACAUUGCAGCUUUCAUCCAAAGCCAGCGAAAAACAGUCAAAGUCGGCCGUUCUGUUCUUCAGCUGAAGCUCCAAGUUUCCAGCGAUGGUCUCAACCCGCCUCGUUACAGUGCGUCGGGAGAGUGACACGUUCUCAAAUGUGCCCCUCUUCUCCGGGCAUAUCAGCGCAACAGUCGCUGUGCACCUUCACUCACAGGUUACACACGGACAUAUAUGUCAAUGAAUAACACUUUUCAAAAUAAAAGCAGCAGUUGUGUUGCGC